GGGUCAACUCUCGAACAAAGUUUGGUUAUACCUACGGGGGCUAGACCUGUGGUGUCAUCAUCCAUACGGUUUUACCUUCUGGUAGUUGUAGCAAUAUUAUUAUCGUUAGUAGCUCACGCCUGACAUAAUAUUUUGAUAAAUCUAAUACAUUUUUAGAUUUAAAUAUGACUUUAAUAACUGAAUAAAUACUUUUCUUCUACAAAAAUAUAGAGAGACACUCUCGUUGAAUAUUGUUUUAGUAACGCAUGGGUAAGGUUUUCUAAACGAAGUGUGGCAACCCCAAUUACUUAAUAAAAAAUAAAAAUGUUUUAAAAUGAAAAUGGCGUCAUUUCACCAAAUAUUUUAAAAAACAAAUUCACGAAUAAUAAAAUAAAUGUUUGCCACGGCCUGUUAAUAUUUAUGAAGACCUCUUCAUGGAUUGGAUUUAAGCAACCUGCUGUGUAAUAUCCUCGCCAUCCUUGAUGUUGAGAAGAUCUAUAAGUCUUUUACGUUUCAUCUGAGUGUUGUGGUUUUUCAUUAUGUUAAAAAUAAGACUUUGUUAGUUCAAGUGUCUCUAUAACUAUGAAGAAGAACAAAAGAAAAUGCUUUGAGUGUGGUUUUUCGCCUGCCGAUGAUCCAGAGAAGACCCUACAGAGAUUACCGAAACUUGAUUCUACAAAUUUAGUCUCCGCAAUCCUGCUUCUUCACAUGAAUUUUACCCGCAUGACGACGGUUUUUAAUAUAAAAAAUAUUUACACAAUGUCUCAAAAAGCAAUCAAAGCUUUGAAAAAUAAACAAUGUUCGCAGAAGUUCAGUACCAACAAACUCACAAAAAAUGAGCCCAAAUUUAGCAUUACUUGCAAGCCAGACUAAGAAAUUUCAAGAAGAUAAUUUAAAAGAAGACAAUAGAAUAAAAUAAUAUUAACACACAAUGCUUAGCAAAUAUAGCAUUAACAGAUGGAAACCAGGCAAUAGGUGUAGCAAAAUAGAAGAUGAAGGUCUAGCUGUGCCAGUCAGUGCUGAGCCACACAGUUGCUGCUGGCAUGUUUGCAAAAUAGCACAAGGUGUAGCAAAAUAGAAGAUGAAGGUCUAGCUGUGCCAGUCAGUGCUGAGCCACACAGUUGCUGCUGGCAUGUUUGCAAAAUAGCACAAGGUGUAGCAAAAUAAAAGAUGAAGGUCUAGCUGUGCCAGUCAGUGCUGAGCCACACAGUUGCUGCUGGCAUGUUUGCAAAAUAGCACAAGGUGUAGCAAAAUAGAAGAUGAAGGUCUAGCUGUGGCAGUCAGUGCUGAGCCACACAGUUGCUGCUGGCAUGUUUGCAAUAUAGCACAAGGUGCUGUAAAAUGAAGAUAUAUUGUUUAAUAUCAUGAGAUAGAAAUAAAAGAUGAAGAUCUAGCUGUACCCGUCCCGAGCCACACUACUGCAGCCACGUUGCUGCUGGCAUUUUUGCAAAAUAGCACAAGGUCACAACAAUUGAUGUAACAAAUAUAAUCAAUGGACCAGGCACCUGCACCAUGAUUCUUUGGAAUACUAAAAUUCGUCUCUUUAUGUUUAUACUUCUCAUAAUGAAAAAUGUCACAUUUUUAUGAAAGAAAUAAUGGAAUCAAAUAAUAAAUAAAACAAGCAUAUGCUGGAAGUCCUCAGAAACAGCUCCGACUUUGAUGAUUUUUUUAAAGUCAUGUUUUUUAUGUUAUUUAAAAUCAGAAAUGUUUUGAUGGACGAAAUUAUUUAAAUUGUUAAAAAAUAUCUAUGCUAUUUAUACAUAUUUUUUUUUAAAUACAACCGACUUCAAAAAUACAAACUUAUGCAGAAAACUAACAAACGAAACAAAAUAUUAUAAUAUUUUCUAUCUAUUGAUCACUUUGAAGGCGGUGCCAAUGGUCCAAUUAAUGGGCCGACAAUUAGUUAUCUAUUGUUUUCCUAGCUAUAGGGUUCGAAUUGCUUUUUCAUAUCUUUAAAAGACUAUCUUCGGAAUGAACCCUUUAUAAUAAAAAAAGUAUUAUCAAAAUCGGACCACUCAAUAAAAAGUUAUACUUGGUUGUAUACUAAAAUUAAUGGUUAAACAAUCAAUCAUCCCCUGUUUUUGUAAUGUAAAACCAAGCAUAACUGUUAACAUGAGUAGUCCGAUUUUGAUAAUUCUUUUGAUUGAUCAUUCUUGAUUGUUUUAGUUUAAAACCAAGCAUGUCUUCGAAUUCCGAUUUGAAUAACUUUGUUUUAAAUAGAAAGGGUAUAUUCCGACAAUGGUCCCAAAUCAUUAUAAAUUUAAAAAAAACAAGAGAUGACUGGUUAUUUUCCCAUUAAUUGUAUUGUAAAAAUAUGCGUAACUUAUUACGAAGUGGUCCGAUUUCGUAAAUUCUUUAUAGAUUGUAAAGGUAUUUUGAUUGUAAAGCUCCCAUAUAAAUUUUUAAAAACAAUUCCAAUCCUAAAUGUGCGAUUGAUUGUUUUCUCAUUCAUUUUAAUGUAAAACCAAGCCUAACUUUUUAUUGGGUGGUUCGAUUUUGAUUAUUCUUUAUUUUAAUAGAAAGGGUAUAUUCCUAAGUCUCAUAAAAUGUUGGAAAACAAUUUCAAACCUAAUAGUAGGAAAAUAGAAGAUGAUUAAUUGUUUUCCCAUUUAUUGUAAUGUUAAACUAUGCGUAACUUUUUACUGAGUGGACCGAUUUUGAAAAUUCUUUACUUUUUGUAAAGGGUUUAUUUCGAAGUAGGUCCCAUAUAAAUUUCGGAAAACAAUUCGAAUCCUUAAGGUGGAAAAAGACGGUACGAUUGAUUGCCUACCCAUUAAUUGUACAAUUGGCACCGGCUUCAGUAAUCAGUAGAUAGAAAAUAUUAUAAUGUUUUCUUCAGCUUAUUAGUUUACUGCAUAACUUUGUGUUUUUGGUAGUGUUUGUUUUUUAAUUAUUUAUUAUAUAAAUAGCAUAACUAUUGUUAAAUAGUAUAAAUCGUUCCAUCCUCACUCCAAAAGGUUUCUGAUUUCAAAUGAUAUGAAGAAACAAACUGAACAAAAAUAAUCAUCAAAAUCAGAGCUGUUUCUGAGGAGGUAGAGGGUAAAUGCUCUAUUGAUUCGCCUAAAAGUAAUAUUAUGUUAUUGCAUUAGGUUGUAAAGUUUGGCUAA
This is a long non-coding RNA of Bicyclus anynana (squinting bush brown), 3086 nucleotides long. RefSeq lists it as uncharacterized. NCBI's taxonomy places the organism in Eukaryota, Metazoa, Arthropoda, Insecta, Lepidoptera, Nymphalidae. The transcript has 8 exons. The record is from RefSeq and is a predicted model, not a curated record.